CUUCUUUGUCAAUUCCCCUGUCUCCUGAAUGUCUCAUUCUCAAACUAAUUUUGCUUGAAAUUGUGGCUGGAGAUGGUAUGUUUGAAACUUAAUAUGAUGAACAUAGAACAGGAAGAUUUCAACACCUUUUUAGCAAAAGAUGUUCACAUAAACCUGAAAUGAAUAUAGCCAAAGAGGACGUGGUCUUUCAGCACCUCCAGCUAAAAAAUGCUGCAGAGGAACUUCCUGUAUUAAGUACAGAUGGGGUUUCACCAUGUUCGCCAGGAUGGUCUCGAUCUCCUGACCUCGUGAUCUGUCCACCUCUGCCUCCCAAAGUGCUGAGAUUACAGGUGUGAGCCACCACUCCCAGCCUUUGUCAUCAUUUCAGAUAGGGUGAAGGAAUGGUUUAAGUCGCCUCCAAGGUAUCUUGUUGGGGGUGAGGGGUACAGAGGGGUCUUACUGAAUGGUGAUGAAAAAGGGGACACAAGCGAAAAAUCAACAUUGGAGAAAAGAUAACUAAACCCUGGGAAGCUUAAGGAACAAAGUGUAACAAAACAACAUGGAUUGUUUUAUAAAAUACUUUGAGAUAUCCA
This 572-nucleotide long non-coding RNA is filed under the name Homo sapiens (human). RNAcentral describes it as "non-protein coding LINC01985:11". Lineage: Eukaryota; Metazoa; Chordata; Mammalia; Primates; Hominidae. The record is from RNAcentral.